GGCCCAGUGGCGGAUGGUCCGUGCCUGCACUCAAUGGAUGGCGAUCUCUACAUAAGGUGUCAUGCGGGAAUCGCUCGUUCGAAUCGAGCCUGGGUCA
Non-coding RNA from Mycena vulgaris, 97 nucleotides. The record is from the annotation of a GenBank genome assembly. Lineage: Eukaryota; Fungi; Basidiomycota; Agaricomycetes; Agaricales; Mycenaceae.